GGGGACCACCAGACACCCUGGGCCAUGAGAAUAAAAGUCUUCUGGAUCUCUAAACCAUCAAUACUGAAUAGCUAAGACAUGACUUAAUUCCAAACCUGCCAGACGCUCUCUCCGUUUGACCUGAUUCAUUAUCAUCUCCCCCUCACAGUCUGUGAUCCAGUUUUAAUUCACUAAGUGCUGAUGUCUGUGUCAAUCUGAACUAAUGCUGUGCAUAAAAUUUGUCUGGGAAAGCAGUGCUUACCAAUUUUCAUGUGGCUGUCCAAAAAUACAGAGCAAUGGACACUUUGGAGUCAUGUUUUUCAAACACCCAUAUGGAUUGUCACUGAUGACGCAAAGUUAGUCAUGGAGUCUGAAGAGGGCUACCUGCAGGAUGAGCAGGCAGUGAUUUCUGCAAC
Long non-coding RNA from Dromaius novaehollandiae (emu), 395 nucleotides. The record is from Ensembl. Lineage: Eukaryota; Metazoa; Chordata; Aves; Casuariiformes; Dromaiidae.